Molecule: long non-coding RNA, 650 nt
Organism: Lutra lutra (Eurasian river otter)
Lineage: Eukaryota; Metazoa; Chordata; Mammalia; Carnivora; Mustelidae
Exons: 4
Source: RefSeq, a predicted model, not a curated record
CUGCAGUCCCUCAGGCUGGAUGGGAGGUUUCCCUCGUACCAGAUGGAGCGCCGGUGGCUUUCUCGGAGACGCUGGUUCGAUCUCUCUAUUUCUUAUCCUAUGCCUACAAAUUCAGUUUGUUACCACUUCUCCUGAAAUUAACUUCAUUGUGGUGGACACCUCUGCUUCUUGUUUUGUCCCUUUAUUUUCUGGAAUGAGGCCUAUUCCAUAACUCAUGGACAUAGUCGAGACUAAAAAGGCACAAAGACCGUAUUAUGAAGAGUCUCCUUCCCACGUCUGUUCCAAGCCACCUAUGUCUCUUCCCCACAGAUAUUUUAUACCUCCAGUUACGACUGUUAGAAAGAUACCAAUCCCGGCUUUCCCGUUUUACAUUGAUCUGGAAUAAGGACCAGCCAACGAAGGGUGUGUAUGCACAUGCAUAUUUUCCGUUUCUUGGAAGAAAACAAACUAGCUUUGAAUUUGAGAGCAUGCUCAGAAGUUGUAAUUCUUAAGGAAAGAAGCUAUUUAUUUAUCGAAGGGAAAUACAAAGGGCCCAUUACUUCCAGACACAAAAUUUAUACUUAGUGAAAUUUUCAUGAAUAAAAACUCAUUUCACUAAAUAGUUUCUGGUAAAAAUAUGGUUUGCUUUUUUGGUGCAAAGUCUGCCAUAU